This 258-nucleotide ribosomal RNA is filed under the name uncultured bacterium. Its description in RNAcentral is "partial small subunit ribosomal RNA". It matches the Rfam family "Bacterial small subunit ribosomal RNA", at positions 26 to 285 of the family's 1533-position model. The record is from RNAcentral.
AGGACGAACGCUGGCGGCGUGCUUAACACAUGCAAGUCGAGCGGAAAGGCCCUUCGGGUACUCGAGCGGCGAACGGGUGAGUAACACGUGAGUAACCUGCCCCUAGCGUCUGGGACUAGCUCCGGGAAACCGGGAUUAAUACCAGAUACGACCACUUUAGACAUCUGUCGUGGUGGAAAGGAUUCCGGCUAGGGAUGGGCUCGCGGUCCUAAUCAGGCUUGUUGGUGGGGUAACGGCCUACCAAGGCGACGACGGGUA